AUAGAACGCUGGCGGCAGGCCUAACACAUGCAAGUCGGACGGUAGCACAGAGGAGCUUGCUCCUUGGGUGACGAGUGGCGGACGGGUGAGUAAUGUCUGGGGAUCUGCCCGAUAGAGGGGGAUAACCACUGGAAACGGUGGCUAAUACCGAAUAACGUCGCAAGACCAAAGAGGGGGACCUUCGGGCCUCUCACUAUCGGAUGAACCCAGAUGGGAUUAGCUAGUAGGCGGGGUAAUGGCCCACCUAGGCGACGAUCCCUAGCUGGUCUGAGAGGAUGACCAGCCACACUGGAACUGAGACACGGUCCAGACUCCUACGGGAGGCAGCAGUGGGGAAUAUUGCACAAUGGGCGCAAGCCUGAUGCAGCCAUGCCGCGUGUAUGAAGAAGGCCUUCGGGUUGUAAAGUACUUUCAGCGGGGAGGAAGGCGGUGAGGUUAAUAACCUUGCCGAUUGACGUUACCCGCAGAAGAAGCACCGGCUAACUCCGUGCCAGCAGCCGCAGUAA
This 506-nucleotide ribosomal RNA is filed under the name uncultured bacterium. RNAcentral describes it as "partial 16S ribosomal RNA". It matches the Rfam family "Bacterial small subunit ribosomal RNA", at positions 31 to 523 of the family's 1533-position model. The record is from RNAcentral.